UUUAUAUAAUAUAUAUAGUAUAUUUGACUUCCAAUCAAAAAGUUUAAUCAUAAUUUAAUAUAAAUA
This 66-nucleotide transfer RNA is filed under the name Catopsilia pomona (lemon migrant). RNAcentral describes it as "tRNA-Gly". The record is from RNAcentral. Lineage: Eukaryota; Metazoa; Arthropoda; Insecta; Lepidoptera; Pieridae.